AACAUCGCGCACCUGCGGGAACCUGCGGAAGGAUCAUUACCGAGUUUACAACUCCCAAACCCAAUGUGAACGUUACCAAACUGUUGCCUCGGCGGGAUCUCUGCCCCGGGUGCGUCGCAGCCCCGGACCAAGGCGCCCGCCGGAGGACCAACCAAAACUCUUUUGUAUACCCCCUCGCGGGUUUUUUAUAUCUGAGCCAUCUCGGCGCCUCUCGUAGGCGUUUCGAAAAUGAAUCAAAAC
RNAcentral lists this unclassified non-coding RNA (240 nucleotides) under soil metagenome. RNAcentral describes it as "partial contains 5.8S ribosomal RNA, internal transcribed spacer 2, and large subunit ribosomal RNA". The record is from RNAcentral.